GACGAACGCUGGCGGCGUGCUUAACACAUGCAAGUCGAACGGAAAGGCCCUGCUUGCCGGGUACUCGAGUGGCGAACGGGUGAGUAACACGUGGGUGAUCUGCCCUGCACUUCGGGAUAAGCCUGGGAAACUGGGUCUAAUACCGGAUAGGAGCCAUUUUUAGUGUGAUGGUUGGAAAGUUUUUUCGGUGUAGGAUGAGCUCGCGGCCUAUCAGCUUGUUGGUGGGGUAAUGGCCUACCAAGGCGGCGACGGGUAGCCGGCCUGAGAGGGUGGACGGCCACAUUGGGACCUGGCAACGGCCCAGACGCCUACGGGAGGCAGCAGUGGGGAAUAUUGCACAAUGGGCGCAAGCCUGAUGCAGCGACGCCGCGUGGGGGAUGACGGCCUUCGGGUUGUAAACUCCUUUCGCUAGGGACGAAGCUUUUUGUGACGGUACCUAGAGAAGAAGCACCGGCUAACUACGUG
Molecule: ribosomal RNA, 465 nt
Filed under: uncultured bacterium
Lineage: Bacteria
Description: partial 16S ribosomal RNA
Rfam family: Bacterial small subunit ribosomal RNA
Source: RNAcentral